UAGGGUUAGGGUUAGGGUUGGAGUUAGGGUUAGUGUUGGAGCUAGGGUUAGGGUUGGGCUUGGAGCUAGGAUUUUUCUGAGUGCAAUGAACCAACUCCCGAGUCUCUAGGACGUUCCUAAAAAAAUUUGAUUUUUUUUCCCAUAGGAAUGCAUGGGUUAGGGUUAGGGUUAGGGUUGGAGCUAGGGUUAGGGUUAGGGUUAGGGUUGGAGUAAGGGUUAGUGUUGGAGCUAGGGUUAGGGUUGGGCUUGGAGCUAGGAUUUUUCUGAGUGCAAUGAACCAACUCCCGAGUCUCUAGGACGUUCCUAAA
Non-coding RNA from Xyrichtys novacula (pearly razorfish), 308 nucleotides. Lineage: Eukaryota; Metazoa; Chordata; Actinopteri; Labriformes; Labridae. The record is from the annotation of a GenBank genome assembly.